RNAcentral lists this ribosomal RNA (301 nucleotides) under uncultured bacterium. RNAcentral describes it as "partial 16S ribosomal RNA". It matches the Rfam family "Bacterial small subunit ribosomal RNA", at positions 509 to 807 of the family's 1533-position model. The record is from RNAcentral.
CAGCAGCCGCGGGAAUACGAAGGUCCCGAGCGUUGUUCGGAAUCACUGGGCGUAAAGGGAGCGUAGGCGGCGUGGUAAGUCAGAUGUGAAAUCCCGGGGCUCAACCCCGGAACUGCAUCCGAUACUGCCAUGCUAGAGGAUUGGAGAGGUAGCUGGAACUCUUGGUGUAGCAGUGAAAUGCGUGGAGAUCAAGAGGAACACUCGUGGCGAAAGCGAGCUACUGGACAAUAACUGACGCUGAGGCUCGAAGGCCAGGGUAGCGAAAGGGAUUAGAUACCCCUGUAGUCCCUGUCUCUUAUAC